Molecule: long non-coding RNA, 2760 nt
Filed under: Ananas comosus (pineapple)
Lineage: Eukaryota; Viridiplantae; Streptophyta; Magnoliopsida; Poales; Bromeliaceae
Description: long non-coding RNA (ACOM_LNC042396)
Source: RNAcentral
CUGCCACCACGAAUGAUGCACCUCGCACGGUUUAUCUUAUUUUCAAUUUUACCGUGGGGUAGUAUUCAUGAUUCAGAUUAAUAUUUGAAUAUGUAUGGGAAUCAGGUAUUGUGGAUUCAUGGCUUCCAACAGACUCAAGAAUCUGUUGUUAAUUACCCCACACUUUUAGUGUUAAGGAACCCUCGAUUAAGAGACCAAAUAUAAAUGCUGAUAAAAUAGACCAAGCAGGCAAAUAAAAUUUUAUUCAUAUGAUUUGCCGUUUACAUAGCUUAAGCAGGGGCAUACCCCCACUGUACAUGAAUUUCAUAAAAUGACACAGCAUUCGGUUGAAGUUUUGAUUUAUUAAAUCCUAAGUAUAUGUAUUAGGAUUUAAUUGGAUUUGAGAUUGACUAGGUCCUAAGUAUAUGUGUUAAGACCUAGUCGAUAUUAGACUCUAUGUAUUAGAGUCUAAUUGGCUCUAAGUAUAUAUUUUAGAGUCCAAUUAUAUUCACCUUGGUUAUAUGUUCCAAGGUGGAGAUGUGACCAAACCUCAAGUAUAUGUAUUGAGGUGGGUCGAAUUACCCGAAAGUAGAGAGUGGCUGAUUCCUGAGUAUAUGUAUCAGGAUUAACCGAGUUUAAUAUGUUUUCACUCUAGUUAUAUGUGCUAGAGUGAAGAUCUGACUAAGCCCUAAGUAUAUAUAUUAGGGGUAGUCGGAUUUGAUUCAUAUGAACUCUAAGUAUAUGUAUUAGAGCUCGAUCGGGUAAGGAUUUCACUCUAGGUAUAUGUGCUAGAGCAAAAGGCUGACUAGACCCUAGGUAUAUGUGCUAGGGCUAGUCGGAUGAACUCUAAGUAUAUAUGUUAGAGUUCGAAUAAAGUUGAUAUCAUUUGACUGAAUUCUAAGUAUAUGGCUUAGAACUCUGUCGAUUUGGAGAUGUUUCGCCUUAGUUAUAUGUGCCAAGGCGAUUGACAUAGCCCUAAGUAUAUGUAUUAGGGGUAGUCGAUAUUUAAUUUUUACUCUAGGUAUAUGUGCCAGAGUAAAAAAAAAAGGUUCACGAUGAGAUUUGGGUAUUGGUUCAUGAGAUUUGAGUAUUGGCUCAUGAGAUUUGGUUCAUGAAUUUGGAUAUGGUUCAUGAAUUUUGUGUAUGGACUUGGUUCAUGAACUUUGAUAUGAUUCAUAGAUUUGGUGUAUGGACUUGGUUCAUGAACUUGGAUAUGGUUUAUGAAUUUGGUGUAUGGAUUUGGUUCAUGAACUUGGAUAUGGUGUAUGGAUUUGGUGUAUGAAUUUGGUUCAUGAACUUGGAUAUGGUUCAUGGAUUUGGUGUACGGACUUGGUUCAUGGUUCAAGAAAUUUAGGUUUAGUUUAACGACUUUUCGGUCGUUUGAAAUUUGGAUUUAGUUUAGCGACUUUUCGGUCGUUUGAGAUUUGGGUUUAGUUUAGCGACGUUUCGGUCGUUUGAAAUUUGGGUUUAGUUUAGCGACGUUUCGGUCGUUUGAAAUUUGGGUUUAGUUUAGCGACGUUUCGGUCGUUUGAAAUUUGGGUUUAGUUUAGCGACGUUUCGGUCGUUUGAAAUUUGGGUUUAGUUUAGCGACGUUUCGGUCGUUUGAAAUUUGGGUUUAGUUUAGCGACGUUUCGGUCGUUUGAAAUUUGGGUUUAGUUUAGCGACGUUUCGGUCGUUUGAAAUUUGGGUUUAGUUUAUCGACGUUUCGGUCGUUUGAAAUUUGGGUUUAGUUUAGCGACGUUUCGGUCGUUUGAAAUUUGGGUUUAGUUUAGCGACGUUUCGGUCGUUUGAAAUUUGGGUUUAGUUUAUCGACGUUUCGGUCGUUUGAAAUUUGGGUUUAGUUUAGCGACGUUUCGGUCGUUAUCGGAUUUAGGUUUAGUUUAACGACGUUUCGGUCGGUUGAUUUGGUGGAUUAGUUUAACGACGUUUCGGUCGUUUGAAAUUUGGGUUUAGUUUAGCGACUUUUCGGUCGAUAUCGGAUUCAGGUUUAGUUUAACGACGUUUCGGUCGGUUGAUUUGGUGGAUUAGUUUAACGACGUUUCGGUCGAUUGAUUUGGUGGAUUAGUUUAACGACGUUUCGGUCGUUUGAAAUUUGGGUUUAGUUUAGCGACUUUUCGGUCGAUAUCGGAUUUAGGUUUAGUUUAACGACGUUUCGGUCGGUUGAUUUGGUGGAUUAGUUUAACGACGUUUCGGUCGAUUGAUUUGGUGGAUUAGUUUAACGACGUUUCGGUCGUUUGAAAUUUGGGUUUAGUUUAGCGACUUUUCGGUCGAUAUCGGAUUUACGUUUAGUUUAACGACGUUUCGGUCGGUUGAUUUGGUGGAUUAGUUUAACGACGUUUCGGUCGGUUGAUUCGGUGGAUUAGUUUAACGACGUUUCGGUCGAAGGUUUGGGUUUGGUUCACAAGGUUUAUGGUAUUGGGUAUAUGGGAUUAUGGUUCAUGAACUUAGAUAUGGCUCAUGGGUUUAUGGUUCAUGGACUUAUGGUUCAUGGGUUUAUGGUUCAUGGGUUUAUGGUUCAUGAACUUGGUUUGAUUCAUGAACUUGAUUCAUAGUUCGUGGAUUUGGUGUAUGGUAUGGUCCACGGGAUUUGGUGUAUGGUUUGGUCCAUGAUUUUGGUUCAAAGUUCAUGAACUUGGUUAAGGUUAUGGGCUUGGAUAUGGGUUAAAUGUGUAUGGGUUCAUGGGUAAAUGUAUAUAGGUUUAUGUAUAUAGGUUUAUGGGUUAAUGGUUUUAAUGAGUUUUGGAUAAUGGGUUUAGGUAGUGGGCCCAAAUGGGUUUUGGA